UACAGAGGUGGCAAGCGUUUGUUCGGAAUUACUGGGCGUAAAGGGCGCGUAGGCGGCCUUCUAAGUCAGACGUGAAAUCCCCCGGCUUAACCUGGGAACUGCGUCUGAUACUGGAGGGCUUGAGUAUGGGAGAGGGAUGUAGAAUUCCAGGUGAUAGCGGUGAAAUGCGUAGAUAUCUGGAGGAAUACCGGUGGCGAAGGCGGGUCUCUGGGCCGAUACUGACGCUGAGGAGCGAAAGCGUGGGGAGCGAAACAGG
This 256-nucleotide ribosomal RNA is filed under the name uncultured bacterium. RNAcentral describes it as "partial 16S ribosomal RNA". It matches the Rfam family "Bacterial small subunit ribosomal RNA", at positions 524 to 776 of the family's 1533-position model. The record is from RNAcentral.